RNAcentral lists this ribosomal RNA (826 nucleotides) under uncultured bacterium. RNAcentral describes it as "bacterial SSU rRNA". It matches the Rfam family "Bacterial small subunit ribosomal RNA", at positions 9 to 831 of the family's 1533-position model. The record is from RNAcentral.
GAGUUUGAUCCUGGCUCAGAUUGAACGCUGGCGACAGGCCUAACACAUGCAAGUCGAGCGGAUGACAGGAGCUUGCUCCUGAAUUCAGCGGCGGACGGGUGAGUAAUGCCUAGGAAUCUGCCUGGUAGUGGGGGACAACGUUUCGAAAGGAACGCUAAUACCGCAUACGUCCUACGGGAGAAAGCAGGGGACCUUCGGGCCUUGCGCUAUCAGAUGAGCCUAGGUCGGAUUAGCUAGUUGGCGAGGUAAUGGCUCACCAAGGCGACGAUCCGUAACUGGUCUGAGAGGAUGAUCAGUCACACUGGAACUGAGACACGGUCCAGACUCCUACGGGAGGCAGCAGUGGGGAAUAUUGGACAAUGGGCGAAAGCCUGAUCCAGCCAUGCCGCGUGUGUGAAGAAGGUCUUCGGAUUGUAAAGCACUUUAAGUUGGGAGGAAGGGCAGUAACUUAAUACGUUGCUGUUUUGACGUUACCGACAGAAUAAGCACCGGCUAACUCUGUGCCAGCAGCCGCGGUAAUACAGAGGGUGCAAGCGUUAAUCGGAAUUACUGGGCGUAAAGCGCGCGUAGGUGGUUUGUUAAGUUGGAUGUGAAAGCCCUGGGCUCAACCUGGGAACUGCAUUCAAAACUGACAAGCUAGAGUAUGGUAGAGGGUGGUGGAAUUUCCUGUGUAGCGGUGAAAUGCGUAGAUAUAGGAAGGAACACCAGUGGCGAAGGCGACCACCUGGACUGAUACUGACACUGAUGUGCGAAAGCGCGGGGAGCAAACAGGAUUAGAUACCCUGGUAGUCACGCCGUAAACGAUGUCAACUAGCCGUUGGGAGCC